RNAcentral lists this ribosomal RNA (253 nucleotides) under uncultured bacterium. Its description in RNAcentral is "partial 16S ribosomal RNA". It matches the Rfam family "Bacterial small subunit ribosomal RNA", at positions 524 to 776 of the family's 1533-position model. The record is from RNAcentral.
GACAGAGGGUGCAAACGUUGUUCGGAAUUACUGGGCGUAAAGCGCGUGUAGGCUGCUCUGCAAGUCGGAUGUGAAAGCCCUGGGCUCAACCUAGGAAGUGCACUCGAAACUGCAGAGCUGGAGUCCUGGAGAGGAAGGCGGAAUUCUCGGUGUAGAGGUGAAAUGCGUAGAUAUCGUGAGGAAGAUCAGUGGCGAAGGCGGAUCUCUGGACAGCUCCUGACGCUGAGGCACGAAGGCCAGGGGAGCAAACGGG